UGAUGGAGGGGGAUAACUACUGGAAACGGUAGCUAAUACCGCAUAACGUCGCAAGACCAAAGUGGGGGACCUUCGGGCCUCAUGCCAUCAGAUGUGCCCAGAUGGGAUUAGCUAGUAGGUGGGGUAAUGGCUCACCUAGGCGACGAUCCCUAGCUGGUCUGAGAGGAUGACCAGCCACACUGGAACUGAGACACGGUCCAGACUCCUACGGGAGGCAGCAGUGGGGAAUAUUGCACAAUGG
This 241-nucleotide ribosomal RNA is filed under the name Klebsiella pneumoniae. RNAcentral's name for it is "partial 16S ribosomal RNA". It matches the Rfam family "Bacterial small subunit ribosomal RNA", at positions 131 to 374 of the family's 1533-position model. The record is from RNAcentral. Lineage: Bacteria; Pseudomonadati; Pseudomonadota; Gammaproteobacteria; Enterobacterales; Enterobacteriaceae.